AGAGUUUGAUCCUGGCUCAGAUUGAACGCUGGCGGCAUGCUUUACACAUGCAAGUCGACGGUAACAGGUUAAGCUGACGAGUGGCGAACGGGUGAGUAAUGCAUCGGAACGUGCCCGUCGUGGGGGAUAACGCAGCGAAAGCUGCGCUAAUACCGCAUACGAUCUGAGGAUGAAAGGGGGGACCGUAAGGCCUCGCGCGAUCGGAGCGGCCGAUGUCAGAUUAGGUAGUUGGUGGGUAAAGGCUCACCAAGCCAACGAUCUGUAGCUGGUCUGAGAGGACGACCAGCCACACUGGACUGAGACACGGCCCAGACUCCUACGGGAGGCAGCAGUGGGGAAUUUUGGACAAUGGGGAAAGCCUGAUCCAGCAAUGCCGCGUGCAGGAAGAAGGCCUUCGGGUUGUAAACUGCUUUGUACGGAGCGAAAAGGCUCUCUCUAAUACAGGGGGCUCAUGACGGUACCGUAAGAAUAGCACCGGCUAACUACGUGCCAGCAGCCGCGGUAA
RNAcentral lists this ribosomal RNA (505 nucleotides) under uncultured beta proteobacterium. Its description in RNAcentral is "bacterial SSU rRNA". It matches the Rfam family "Bacterial small subunit ribosomal RNA", at positions 8 to 523 of the family's 1533-position model. The record is from RNAcentral. Lineage: Bacteria; Pseudomonadati; Pseudomonadota; Betaproteobacteria.